This 253-nucleotide ribosomal RNA is filed under the name uncultured bacterium. Its description in RNAcentral is "partial 16S ribosomal RNA". It matches the Rfam family "Bacterial small subunit ribosomal RNA", at positions 524 to 776 of the family's 1533-position model. The record is from RNAcentral.
UACGGGGGGGGCAAGCGUUGUUCGGAAUUAUUGGGCGUAAAGAGCUCGUAGGCGGUUUGUCGCGUCUGCCGUGAAAGUCCGGGGCUCAACUCCGGAUCUGCGGUGGGUACGGGCAGACUAGAGUGAUGUGGGGGAGACUGGAAUUCCUGGUGUAGCGGUGAAAUGCGCAGAUAUCAGGAGGAACACCGAUGGCGAAGGCAGGUCUCUGGGCAUUAACUGACGCUGAGGAGCGAAAGCAUGGGGAGCGAACAGG